Molecule: long non-coding RNA, 1747 nt
Filed under: Homo sapiens (human)
Lineage: Eukaryota; Metazoa; Chordata; Mammalia; Primates; Hominidae
Description: non-protein coding SLC16A1-AS1:5
Source: RNAcentral
UGCUGAGCGGCGCGGAGCUACCACGCCCUGCCAGACUCGCCCUUGGGUCCCUGUCUGACGAGCUCUAGGCAAUCUGCCCUCGUUCGGGACACAACCAUCGGUCUCACCCCUCAGUUUCUGCCAGAGAAAAAGGAAAAGUCACCGAGAGGCCUGACCCUGACGGGUGGGGGAGAUGCGCGUGCGGAGUAGCGGGAAGCGACUGAGGAGCGGGGAAUGGGCAGCAUUUGAAUGGAUGCGGGUGCCGCUGGCACCCGGGAAGACGCUGGGGGCCGGCGCUGUAGAGCCGGGCAUGGGCUGGGAUGUGUUUGGAUUCCAAUCCGGGCCUGACACCAGUUCAGUGACCUCGGGAAGUUCCCCAACCCUCCGGGCCUGUUUCCUCCCUCUGAAGUGGCGACAGUAGUAGAACCGACCUCGUAGGCUCAUCGGGAGGUCCUGAUGGGAGAACCCAUGCAACUUGCCACCAUAGAGCCAGGCCCGCGGCGGUUGGCGCCUGGUGGGUAUUAAAGACGAGUCGGGAAAGAAGAGCAGGUUGAUAGACUGGAUGCUGCUAUGGUAAUCUGCCUCAGGAAAAUGCCGGACUGUUGUUUGCAAGCUGGUUAAGUGAGCAAAUCUUGGGAAGAUUUCAAGUUUUUAUCUUCAGGAAACUCCCAAGCAUUCUGGAAGCUCUGCAUGUGAGUAAGAACCACUGCUGUUGCUGUUGCUGUAGCUGCCUGAAUCUAUGGCAAAAAGCCAGGAAAAAAAAAUUGCUUCACACCAUGUGCACCGACUCCCCUGGAGCUGGCACCACCAGGGCGUCUGCAGAGCUAUGUAAGUCGUUCUCCAAGCAGUCUGUCUCUUUGGUAGCUACAGAAACAGUGUUUGUUAUCCUUUGUUUUCGGUAGACAGGCAAAAAUCUGAUGGCGACAUUCUCUCUUUCUGAAGUUGGAGAGCCAACCAGCAAAACCUUCAGAAAGAAGGCAGCUUCUACCAGAGGGAUCUUGUCUCUUAUUGCUGCUUUCAAUACUUUGGAGCCUCAGUGAGAGGACUCCCUAUGAAACCAUGGAAUUAAAGUUGCCCUUUCAGAUUUUAACCUUGAGAUCAAUGCACAGUGGGUCAAAGUAUAGUUAUUCAAAGUCUUAGUAAAGAGGUAAAAUGGCUCCCUGGUAAGCAAGAUUAUGCUAUAAUCUUAAAAUAGGCUCACACCUGUAAUCCCAGAGUGCUGGGAUUACAGGUGUGAGCCACCGCGCCCGGCCUGGAACUCCUGACUUUAUAAUCCACCUGCCUUGCCUCCCAAAGUGCUGAGAUUACAGGCGUUAGCCGCCACGCCUGGCCCUCUUCAUCUUCUUUUAAAGCCACCCACCAGUCACAUCAUGGAGGCCCCACCCUGAUGACCUAACCUAUUAUCUAAUCCUGAUUACAUCCCAAAGGCCCCACUUCUAAUCAACAUAUGCAUUGGGGAUUAAAGUUUGGAAUACAUAAAAUUUGGGAGACACAUUCAAAUCAUAGCAAUAGGAAAUACCAUCUUUGGUGGAAAAACAUGUGGCUUAGAAAGCAAGUCUAUGGUUUUGAUGGAAGUAGCAAAAUACUUUAUCAUCACAAAGCGGUAUCUAUUGUUGCCAACUUUACUUUCCCAUCACAUUAGCCUUGUAUUAGAUGAAGUAAAGAAAUAUGAGUUUUUAAGUAAAUUAGGUUAACCAGAAAUGCAUUAAAUUGUUGUAAGUAAAAAUUAAUUAAUGGAUUAAUAUAAACAUAAAGAAAAGUUUCCAAA